AAAUUGAAGAGUUUGAUCAUGGCUCAGAUUGAACGCUGGCGGCAGGCCUAACACAUGCAAGUCGAACGGUAACAGGAAGCAGCUUGCUGCUUCGCUGACGAGUGGCGGACGGGUGAGUAAUGUCUGGGAAACUGCCUGAUGGAGGGGGAUAACUACUGGAAACGGUGGCUAAUACCGCAUAACGUCGCAGGACCAAAGAGGGGGACCUUCGGGCCUCUUGCCAUCAGAUGUGCCCAGAUGGGAUUAGCUUGUUGGUGAGGUAACGGCUCACCAAGGCGACGAUCCCUAGCUGGUCUGAGAGGAUGACCAGCCACACUGGAACUGAGACACGGUCCAGACUCCUACGGGAGGCAGCAGUGGGGAAUAUUGCACAAUGGGCGCAAGCCUGAUGCAGCCAUGCCGCGUGUAUGAAGAAGGCCUUCGGGUUGUAAAGUACUUUCAGCGGGGAGGAAGGUGUUGUGGUUAAUAACCGCAGCAAUUGACGUUACCCGCAGAAGAAGCACCGGCUAACUCCGUGCCAGCAGCCGCGGUAAUACGGAGGGUGCAAGCGUUAAUCGGAAUUACUGGGCGUAAAGCGCACGCAGGCGGUCUGUCAAGUCGGAUGUGAAAUCCCCGGGCUCAACCUGGGAACUGCAUUCGAAACUGGCAGGCUUGAGUCUUGUAGAGGGGGGUAGAAUUCCAGGUGUAGCGGUGAAAUGCGUAGAGAUCUGGAGGAAUACCGGUGGCGAAGGCGGCCCCCUGGACAAAGACUGACGCUCAGGUGCGAAAGCGUGGGGAGCAAACAGGAUUAGAUACCCUGGUAGUCCACGCCGUAAACGAUGUCUACUUGGAGGUUGUGCCCUUGAGGCGUGGCUUCCGGAGCUAACGCGUUAAGUAGACCGCCUGGGGAGUACGGCCGCAAGGUUAAAACUCAAAUGAAUUGACGGGGGCCCGCACAAGCGGUGGAGCAUGUGGUUUAAUUCGAUGCAACGCGAAGAACCUUACCUGGUCUUGACAUCCACAGAACCCUGUAGAGAUACGGGGGUGCCUUCGGGAGCUGUGAGACAGGUGCUGCAUGGCUGUCGUCAGCUCGUGUUGUGAAAUGUUGGGUUAAGUCCCGCAACGAGCGCAACCCUUAUCCUUUGUUGCCAGCGGUCCGGCCGGGAACUCAAAGGAGACUGCCAGUGAUAAACUGGAGGAAGGUGGGGAUGACGUCAAGUCAUCAUGGCCCUUACGACCAGGGCUACACACGUGCUACAAUGGCGCAUACAAAGAGAAGCGACCUCGCGAGAGCAAGCGGACCUCAUAAAGUGCGUCGUAGUCCGGACUGGAGUCUGCAACUCGACUCCAUGAAGUCGGAAUCGCUAGUAAUCGUGGAUCAGAAUGCCACGGUGAAUACGUUCCCGGGCCUUGUACACACCGCCCGUCACACCAUGGGAGUGGGUUGCAAAAGAAGUAGGUAGCUUAACCUUCGGGAGGGCGCUUACCACUUUGUGAUUCAUGACUGGGGUGAAGUCGUAACAAGGUAACCGUAGGGGAACCUGCGGUUGGAUCACCUCCUUA
RNAcentral lists this ribosomal RNA (1542 nucleotides) under Salmonella enterica subsp. arizonae. Its description in RNAcentral is "bacterial SSU rRNA". It matches the Rfam family "Bacterial small subunit ribosomal RNA". The record is from RNAcentral. Lineage: Bacteria; Pseudomonadati; Pseudomonadota; Gammaproteobacteria; Enterobacterales; Enterobacteriaceae.